This 1240-nucleotide ribosomal RNA is filed under the name metagenome. RNAcentral's name for it is "bacterial LSU rRNA". It matches the Rfam family "Bacterial large subunit ribosomal RNA", at positions 1564 to 2815 of the family's 2925-position model. The record is from RNAcentral.
UGAGUACGAGACGCUAAGGCGUCGAAGUAGUGUAUGUCAUACUUCCAAGAAAAGCUUGCACUGUCAUAGAUAAAAAACGCCUGUACCAUAACCGACACAGGUGGGUAGGUAGAGUAUACUAAGGGGCGCGAGAUAACUCUCUCUAAGGAACUCGGCAAAAUAACUCCGUAACUUCGGGAGAAGGAGUGCCUUAUUCGUAAGGUUGCAAUAACAAGAUCCAAGCAACUGUUUAUCAAAAACACAGGUCUCCGCUAAGUCGUAAGACGAUGUAUGGGGGCUGACGCCUGCCCAGUGCCAGAAGGUUAAAGAAGUUGGUUAGCAAUUGCGAAGCUGAUAACUGAAGCCCUGGUGAACGGCGGCCGUAACAAUAACGGUCCUAAGGUAGCGAAAUUCCUUGUCGGGUAAGUUCCGACCCGCACGAAAGGCGUAAUGAUUUGGAUACUGUCUCGGAGAGGGGCUCGGUGAAAUAGACUUGUCUGUGAAGAUGCGGACUACCUGCACCAGGACAGAAAGACCCUAUGAAGCUUUACUGUAACUUGAAAUUGAAGUUGGACUUUAUUCGCGCAGUAUAGGUGGGAGGCGUUGAUUAUAAUCUUGUGGGAUUAUUGGAGCCAUCAGUGAGAUACCACUCUUGUAAUGUUAGAUUUCUAACUUUGAAUCAUUAUCUGGUCAAAGAACAGUUUCAGGCGGGCAGUUUGACUGGGGCGGUCGCCUCCUAAACGGUAACGGAGGCGUACAAAGGUUUCCUCUGAACGGUUAGAAAUCGUAUCUAGAGUGUAAAGGCAUAAGGAAGCUUGACUGUGAGACCUACAAGUCGAGCAGGGACGAAAGUCGGUCUUAGUGAUCUACGGUACUGAGUGGAAAGGCCGUCACUCAACGGAUAAAAGUUACUCUAGGAUAACAGGCUGAUCUCCCCCAAGAGUUCACAUCGACGGGGAGGUUUGGCACCUCGAUGUCGGCUCAUCGCAUCCUGGGGCGGUAGUACGUCCCAAGGGUUGGGCUGUUCGCCCAUGAAAGCGGUACGCGAGCUGGGUUCAGAACGUCGUGAGACAGUUCGGUCCAUAUCCGGUGUAGGCGUUAGAAUAUUGAGAGGAGCCUUCUUUAGUACGAGAGGACCGAGAAGGACAUACCUCUGGUGUACCAGUUAUCGUGCCAACGGUAAACGCUGGGUAGCUAUGUAUGGAGUGGAUAACCGCUGAAAGCAUCUAAGUGGGAAGCCCACCUCAAGAUAAGUAUUCUC